Molecule: ribosomal RNA, 465 nt
Filed under: Vreelandella stevensii
Lineage: Bacteria; Pseudomonadati; Pseudomonadota; Gammaproteobacteria; Oceanospirillales; Halomonadaceae
Description: partial 16S ribosomal RNA
Rfam family: Bacterial small subunit ribosomal RNA
Source: RNAcentral
CCUACGGGUGGCAGCAGUGGGGAAUAUUGGACAAUGGGCGAAAGCCUGAUCCAGCCAUGCCGCGUGUGUGAAGAAGGCCUUCGGGUUGUAAAGCACUUUCAGUGGGGAAGAAAGCCUUGGGGCUAAUACCCUCGAGGAAGGACAUCACCCACAGAAGAAGCACCGGCUAACUCCGUGCCACCAGCCGCGGUAAUACGGAGGGUGCGAGCGUUAAUCGGAAUUACUGGGCGUAAAGCGCGCGUAGGCGGUCUGAUAAGCCGGUUGUGAAAGCCCCGGGCUCAACCUGGGAACGGCAUCCGGAACUGUCAGGCUAGAGUGCAGGAGAGGAAGGUAGAAUUCCCGGUGUAGCGGUGAAAUGCGUAGAGAUCGGGAGGAAUACCAGUGGCGAAGGCGGCCUUCUGGACUGACACUGACGCUGAGGUGCGAAAGCGUGGGUAGCAAACAGGAUUAGAUACCCUAGUAGUC